UUCCGUAGGUGAACCUGCGGAAGGAUCAUUACCGAGUUUUCGGGCUUCGGCUCGACUCUCCCACCCUUUGUGAACGUACCUCUGUUGCUUUGGCGGCUCCGGCCGCCAAAGGACCUCCAAACUCCAGUCAGUAAACGCAGACGUCUGAUAAACAAGUUAAUAAACUAAAACUUUCAACAACGGAUCUCUUGGUUCUGGCAUCGAUGAAGAACGCAGCGAAAUGCGAUAAGUAAUGUGAAUUGCAGAAUUCAGUGAAUCAUCGAAUCUUUGAACGCACAUUGCGCCCCUUGGUAUUCCGGGGGGCAUGCCUGUUCGAGCGUCAUUACAACCCUCAAGCUCUGCUUGGAAUUGGGCACCGUCCUCACUGCGGACGCGCCUCAAAGACUCUCGGCUGGUGCUGUCAGCCCUCAAGCGUAGUAGAAUACACCUCGCUUGUUUGGCGUCGCCCGCCGGACG
Molecule: ribosomal RNA, 456 nt
Filed under: Lasiodiplodia pseudotheobromae
Lineage: Eukaryota; Fungi; Ascomycota; Dothideomycetes; Botryosphaeriales; Botryosphaeriaceae
Description: eukaryotic LSU rRNA
Rfam family: 5.8S ribosomal RNA (bases 169-322)
Source: RNAcentral